ACGAACGCUGGCGGCGUGCUUAACACAUGCAAGUCGAACGGAAAGGCCCUGCUUUUGUGGGGUGCUCGAGUGGCGAACGGGUGAGUAACACGUGAGUAACCUGCCCUUGACUUUGGGAUAACUUCAGGAAACUGGGGCUAAUACCGGAUAGGAGCUCCUGCUGCAUGGUGGGGGUUGGAAAGUUUCGGCGGUUGGGGAUGGACUCGCGGCUUAUCAGCUUGUUGGUGGGGUAGUGGCUUACCAAGGCUUUGACGGGUAGCCGGCCUGAGAGGGUGACCGGCCACAUUGGGACUGAGAUACGGCCCAGACUCCUACGGGAGGCAGCAGUGGGGAAUAUUGCACAAUGGGCGGAAGCCUGAUGCAGCAACGCCGCGUGCGGGAUGACGGCCGUCGGGUGGUAAACCGCUUUCGCCUGUGACGAAGCGUGAGUGACGGUAAUGGGUAAAGAAGCACCGGCUAACUACGU
Molecule: ribosomal RNA, 466 nt
Filed under: uncultured bacterium
Lineage: Bacteria
Description: partial 16S ribosomal RNA
Rfam family: Bacterial small subunit ribosomal RNA
Source: RNAcentral